This 889-nucleotide ribosomal RNA is filed under the name Septobasidium canescens. RNAcentral's name for it is "eukaryotic LSU rRNA". It matches the Rfam family "Eukaryotic large subunit ribosomal RNA", at positions 26 to 916 of the family's 3401-position model. Lineage: Eukaryota; Fungi; Basidiomycota; Pucciniomycetes; Septobasidiales; Septobasidiaceae. The record is from RNAcentral.
CGCUUGAACUUAAGCAUAUCAAUAAGCGGAGGAAAAGAAACUAACAAGGAUUCCCCCAGUAACGGCGAGUGAAGAGGGAACAGCCCAAAUUUGUAAUCUGGCCCUCUCAGGGUCCGAGUUGUAAUCUCGAGAACUGUUUUCCGUGCUGGACCGCGUACAAGUCUGUUGGAAUAUAGCUUCAUAGAGGGUGAGAAUCCCGUACAUGAUGCGGAUUACCAGUACAUUGUGAUACAGUCUCCAAGAGUCGAGUUGUUUGGGAAUGCAGCUCAAAAUGGGUGGUAAAUUCCAUCUAAGGCUAAAUAUUGGCGAGAGACCGAUAGCGAACAAGUACCGUGAGGGAAAGAUGAAAAGCACUUUGGAAAGAGAGUUAACAGUACGUGAAAUUGUUGAAAGGGAAACGCUUGAAGUCAGUCUUGCACUUGAUUGUUCAACCUUUGGGUGUAUUCAAUCAUGAGCAGGCCAGCAUCAGUUUCAGGUGUCGGAGAAGGGUGAAAGGAACGUAGCAGUCUCGGCUGUGUUAUAGCCUUGCACUUGAUACGACGUCAGGGACUGAGGAUCGCGGUGAGCCUUUUGGCGAGUCUUCGGACUUCCUCACCAUGGAUGCUGGCGUAAUGGCUUUAAACGACCCGUCUUGAAACACGGACCAAGGAGUCUAACAUGCUUGCGAGUGUUUGGGUGGCAAACCCGGGCGCGUAAUGAAAGUGAAUGUAGGUGGGAAUCGCAAGAUGCACCAUCGACCGGUCCGGAUUUUUAAUGAUGGAUCUGAGUAAGAGCAAGUAUGUUGGGACCCGAAAGAUGGUGAACUAUGCCUGAAUAGGGCGAAGCCAGAGGAAACUCUGGUGGAGGCUCGUAGCGGUUCUGACGUGCAAAUCGAUCGUCGAAUUUGGGU